GAUGAACGCUGGCGGCGUGCCUAAUACAUGCCAGUCGAGCGAACGGACGAGAAGCUUGCUUCUCUGAUGUUAGCGGCGGACGGGUGAGUAACACGUGGAUAACCUACCUAUAAGACUGGGAUAACUUCGGGAAACCGUAGCUAAUACCGGAUAAUAUUUUGAACCGCAUGGUUCAAAAGUGAAAGACGGUCUUGCUGUCACUUAUAGAUGGAUCCGCGCUGCAUUAGCUAGUUGGUAAGGUAACGGCUUACCAAGGCAACGAUGCAUAGCCGGCCUGAGAGGGUGAUCGGCCACACUGGAACUGAGACACGGUCCAGACUCCUACGGGAGGCAGCAGUAGGGAAUCUUCCGCAAUGGGCGAAAGCCUGACGGAGCAACGCCGCGUGAGUGAUGAAGGUCUUCGGAUCGUAAAACUCUGUUAUUAGGGAAGAACGUAUGUGUAAGUAACUGUGCACAUCUUGACGGUACCUAAUCAGAAAGCCACGGCUAACUACGUG
RNAcentral lists this ribosomal RNA (497 nucleotides) under uncultured bacterium. RNAcentral's name for it is "partial 16S ribosomal RNA". It matches the Rfam family "Bacterial small subunit ribosomal RNA", at positions 28 to 507 of the family's 1533-position model. The record is from RNAcentral.